Molecule: long non-coding RNA, 820 nt
Filed under: Fragaria vesca (wild strawberry)
Lineage: Eukaryota; Viridiplantae; Streptophyta; Magnoliopsida; Rosales; Rosaceae
Description: long non-coding RNA (FVES_LNC004299)
Source: RNAcentral
UAAUUUUCCCAAAACUUAAGUAAGACAAUUUUGUUAUGGCAUCUGAAUCUGAAUUGCAUAACAUAACUUAAGAUCAGGAUCUAUUCCAUAAUACAGAUAAUUAAACACAAGUUAGCGGAAUCAUUAAACCAAUAACCAAGGCUUUUCCUAGUUGCACUAGGGCAUUACCAUAAGAACCAGCAUUGAUCGGGAUACCAUUGAUGGUUGUCAUCCUCGUCAGUAGGAUAAUAGCAACAACACAGUAACAAUAGCGACACAACCUGCAAAUACACAAACACAGAAGCAGAGAAUAUCUUCUAUGCUAUACCACUUCUUUCUAACAUAAUGGACUAUUUAACCUCAAUGAAUAGCGUAAUUAAUACAUGGACAUUCUACUGAUAAAUAUACAGUUCCCAUCUAAAGUGGGACGCCGCUUUGAAAUUAAAGUGUGGUGCUCAUCAUUUUGCUCACUUUUAGGUCACAUUUUCAUAUCUCCACCAUUAAGUGUCUAGAACAUAGUAUGUAGAUCAUUCAUGUAAAGUUUCAUCCAAUUUGAAGAUCAUUUGGGUACAGAAUUAGAUUAAAUGAAUCAAAUGAACAAAAUCUGUCCAAAUGGAACCGUUCGUGUAAAUCACAAUUACGGAAGGUCAAAUUAUCUUCAAAUUGGAUGAAACUUUGCAUAAAUGAUCUACAAACUAUGUUCUAGACACUGAAUGGUGGAGAUGUACGUGAAAAUGUGACCUAAAAGUGAGCGAAAUGAUGAGCACCACACUUUAAUUUCAAAGCGGUGUCCCACUGGAAUGGGAUUAUAUAUAUAUAUAUAUAUAUAUAUAUAUAUAUA